Molecule: long non-coding RNA, 1252 nt
Filed under: Helianthus annuus (common sunflower)
Lineage: Eukaryota; Viridiplantae; Streptophyta; Magnoliopsida; Asterales; Asteraceae
Description: hypothetical non coding rna
Source: RNAcentral
UUUUCACAACCCUCUAAUCCCUACAAAAUCACUCUCAAACUCUUGCAAAUUCUGAAAUUCGGGCAGAUUCAUACCUCCUUACAAAAAUGAGCAUAACUUGCUCAAAACUCAACCAAAUCACUUGAUUCUUCUUUCUAAAUGUUUGGAUAAUCUUUGGGCAUGAUUCCUUGAUCUCUCCUUGGAGAAAUCAGACCUGGAAAUACCCUAAAAGUGUCCAUAAACUUUCUGUUUUGUUUUAAAACUUUCUAAACUCUUGUAUACUUCACACAAACUUGUGUUCUUAUGCUUCUAGUCUAUUGUAUGAUUAGUAAAUCCAAACCAAGGUUGUUUUACACUUAAUAUGAGUGCCUAAACACUCUAAACUUUCUGUUUUAAUCGAGUUCUUAACUCACAAGUGGUGCCAAGUCUUGAACUUGAAGAUGGUGUGACUACUUGGCUAGCCUAGGCUAACCUACUACAUAAACAAGUCCACACAUCACUUGAUGUUUUGCUUAGUUAAUUGUAUUAUUUCUUGUACAUAUCUAUGAGGUUCGUAAAUCGAAGGUUCGCCUUCCUACCUCCUACAUGACCUAUAUUUUAACAUAUCAUUCGAGGUACCAAAGUGGAGGGUUUCACCUCCCACCUCCUACUUGACUUAUGACACCAAGAGGUACCAUAGUGGAAGGUUCAACCUCCCGCCUCCUACAUGACUUUAUAUAUAUUAUUAUGUACAUAGUACGACUAUAAUAAUCCUUAAAACCGAACCCUUGAUAGUGAUUAUAUAAAUCCUCUACCAAGUUAAUAAGUUUAUCACUAUGUGUGUAGUUCCUUGUCACGAAUCUAAUAGGUCUUGAACCUAUGAAAUCACACACAAUCCAUAAGGAUUACUAUAGUGUCAAGACAAGUGCUAAUACCAUAGUGAUUAUUUUCAUGAUACAUACUUUGUUAUUCUUUGAAUCUUAAUUCCGAAUCUCGACUCUAAACAUACUUAAACUUUGACCCUUACACUUUCAAUCUUCAAACCUCAUCAACUUCGUCGCAUUGGAUAAUAAGAAAGCAUAGGCGAAUUUUGCUAUGGUAUGCGUUGUAUUCUUGGGUUUGAUCAUAUUGUUAAUUUUUGAGGUGAUACUUCGAGAUGAAACAAGAUUUAGGGUGGACUAGAUACACACUAGAUUAAUCUAUCUUUUAUUGUUAUGUUACAAUUUGAAACAAUGUUGUUAUUUUUUUAUUUGAAUCUUGUAUGACAAUUUAGUAUUACAAUGAAAUUUGAAUU